Small nucleolar RNA from Nannospalax galili (Upper Galilee mountains blind mole rat), 130 nucleotides. Lineage: Eukaryota; Metazoa; Chordata; Mammalia; Rodentia; Spalacidae. The record is from Ensembl.
GACAAGAGUAGAGGCACAUCCUGACAGACACUUGUCCUGGUGUGCUGGAGUUCUUGGAGAGGAGCUACUGGUCUUGAUUCAUUGGUGGGGGAAGUCAGCACCCUUGUUAGUAUUCAGAUCAGAAACAUGC